This 433-nucleotide ribosomal RNA is filed under the name uncultured bacterium. RNAcentral's name for it is "partial 16S ribosomal RNA". It matches the Rfam family "Bacterial small subunit ribosomal RNA", at positions 29 to 507 of the family's 1533-position model. The record is from RNAcentral.
AACGAACGCUGGCGGCAUGCCUAACACAUGCAAGUCGAACGAGACCUUCGGGUCUAGUGGCGCACGGGUGCGUAACGCGUGGGAACCUGCCCUUAGGUUCGGAAUAACUCCCCGAAAGGGGUGCUAAUACCGGAUAAUGUCUUCGGACCAAAGAUUUAUCGCCUUUGGAUGGGCCCGCGUUGGAUUAGCUAGUUGGUAGGGUAAAAGCCUACCAAGGCGACGAUCCAUAGCUGGUCUGAGAGGAUGAUCAGCCACACUGGGACUGAGACACGGCCCAGACUCCUCCGGGAGGAGGAGGGGGGAAAUAUUGAACAAGGGGAGAAGGCUGAACCCACAAUGGCCGGGGGAGUAAGAAGGCCUUUGGGGUUGAAACGCUUUUUUCCCCGGUAUGAAAAGGACAGUCCGGGGAGAAAAGGCCCCGGCUAACCCCGUC